Molecule: long non-coding RNA, 1044 nt
Organism: Meleagris gallopavo (turkey)
Lineage: Eukaryota; Metazoa; Chordata; Aves; Galliformes; Phasianidae
Source: RefSeq, a predicted model, not a curated record
AGCAGACGGUCCUCGUCGCGCCCGUCUCCUUUUAGGCUAAUUCUUAAGCCCGGCCCCUGCUGGAAACGCAGAGCCGACGCGGCGCUCGAGCGCGUGUAUCUUCAAGCGGGCUGAGCGUCCCGCUGCAAGGCUGCGUGCGUUCGGCGGGCCGUGCUCGGAGCCGCUUGCGGAUUUCAUCGCUAUCAGCAAAAUAAAUGUCUUUGGCCUUGCUGUUCCGUGACUCAAGCGUGUGCCCCAGAGAGCAGAACGGCUGAAGCCAGCCACUUCCCCUCGCUCGGUUUAUUUUUACUGCUGGUUGCUGUGGGAAGCUGUUGUGAUUCAGCGCUGCAGUAGGAAGUUACCAAAGCAGCUCUUACAGCAAAGGAUGUUGAGAUUCUUAUGCAAGCCGUGGUGAAAAUAGCUGACCUUUCCGUUUGUUUCACAAAGCACCUUCAAUCCGUAUGAGGAACAGCAGUGGGCUGUGCAAGGAAGGCUCAUCGGGGUCUGAAGCCCUUUUGUGCUGCAUGUCCUUCGUGUUCUCAGUACCCAGAAACUUGCUCGGCUCCCCUCUGGAGGCGCGAGGAAGGCAGCUGUAACCACGGCGACAGCAGGAGGGAGAGAUCUCACCUCCGUUUCGUGGCCAAACUGGCAACCACCCAGGGGUGUGGGGAGAGGGCAGCAGAGGACCCCCGGCUCCUCCCGCGUCCUUCGAUCGGGAGCACGCGUCAUCCCGGCGAAGUCCUCCGACGCGCAGCCCUCCCGGACGGGGAGGCCGUCGGUGGGAUCCCGCGGGGCAGGGCUGGCCGCUGGAGCCGGUGGCAGCCCGUCGGCUUGCUGCCCUCUUGAGUCAGCUGCUCCAAAAUGCAGGGCGGCCGAGAAAUGAGCGGAAACGGAGCGGCGAUCCUCCCGAGGCAGGUCCCUUCCCUCGCCUGUGUCCUCCUCGCAGCCACCUGCUGCCUGGGGACUUCUGCGGAGGAAGAGCCCUCUGCUCUGCAGAAAGCCGUGGGCAUCCCCUUCAAUCUCCUGCACCGUGCACCGUCUGGUUUCCUUCUCCGCAGACAAAAA